CUUUUGAGAUUAAUGAGAAUAGAAUUUUCUAAAUUCAAGAAACUAUUCUCUCUUGAAAGUCACAAGGCUAGAGAGUCCAAAGACUCCCUCUAGCCACCUUCCAACACACUACCUCAUUCUUCCAUUUUCCAUUUUACCAUUGUGCUUUCUCUCUCAUCCACAGCCUUACUCCUCCACGCAGAACCAGUCCUUUUUCUGCCACCUUAGCGCAUGCGUCAGCGCUUCGCUCUCUCCUCAGUACAUUUUCAUUUCGCAGACACACAUUCCACUCUCAUUUUCCACAUACCACGAAACAUUCCUCUGCUAGGGUUUCACUCUCAGCGUCUUCGAGAGCAUUUCUCUCUC
RNAcentral lists this long non-coding RNA (345 nucleotides) under Vigna radiata. RNAcentral describes it as "long non-coding RNA (VRAD_LNC000650)". Lineage: Eukaryota; Viridiplantae; Streptophyta; Magnoliopsida; Fabales; Fabaceae. The record is from RNAcentral.